This is a long non-coding RNA of Humulus lupulus (European hop), 694 nucleotides long. RefSeq lists it as uncharacterized. The transcript has 3 exons. The record is from RefSeq and is a predicted model, not a curated record. Lineage: Eukaryota; Viridiplantae; Streptophyta; Magnoliopsida; Rosales; Cannabaceae.
CCUCUGACCUUGUUUCUCUUUCCCCCGAUUUCUUCUUCUUCUUUUUUCCCCGAUUUCUUCUGCUGCUACUCUGUCCUACUCGCUCCAUCUUCUUCCCUCCUCUGUCUGCAUCAUCGUCCCUGUCAACGAAGCGUCGAACGAGACAAACAUUGUUGUCCCUGCAUCCAAGCAUCUCAUUAAUUUUCUGGGUGCGACAAAUGCGUAACGUUUGGGCAGAUUUGGGGAAGCAAGAACUUCCGGUGUCUGGGCAGAUUUGGGUCCAUCAUGGUUGUUUCCUCGUGGAAGGACAAUGGACAAAAACUCUUUGUGCAUGAUCCUUGUUAAUAUUUCGAUUGGUCUUAAAGCAUUGGAUUAGUAGUUGGCUUGCGAGAGGUAUAUGUUGUAUUUGAUUUUGAUUUUUAAUAUAAAUUGUAUAACUUUAGUGGAGUUUGGAUAUCUUAGAUAUUCAUCCAUAACAAAGUAGGUUAUGAGAAUUCUGUGCUGCGGUGAUAACAGAAGGUUGAAAACUUGCAUGUAUUAGUGAAGUAGGUUCUAAGAAUUUUGUGUGCUGCAGUGAUAUAUGAACGAAAACCUAUGUGUUGUUUGAUUUGUUUGUGUUGAUUGUGACAGAUGGCUAGGCUAGUAAAUUAGGGGAUAUGCUGUCCGAUUUUCUGUUUGAUUUACUUUUAUACUUCAAUGUUUUCUCUUCAAAAUU